RNAcentral lists this transfer RNA (32 nucleotides) under Merluccius paradoxus (deep-water Cape hake). RNAcentral describes it as "partial tRNA-Glu". The record is from RNAcentral. Lineage: Eukaryota; Metazoa; Chordata; Actinopteri; Gadiformes; Merlucciidae.
GUUCUUGUAGUUGAAUAACANCGGUGGUUUUU